Molecule: ribosomal RNA, 444 nt
Filed under: uncultured bacterium
Lineage: Bacteria
Description: bacterial SSU rRNA
Rfam family: Bacterial small subunit ribosomal RNA
Source: RNAcentral
UAAGGAAUAUUGGACAAUGGGGGCAACACUGAUCCAGCCAUGCCGCGUGAAGGAUGAAGGCCCUAUGGGUUGUAAACUUCUUUUGAACGAAAGAAACCCCGGGUACGUGUACCCAGUUGAUAGUACCGUUAGAAUAAGGGACGGCUAACUUCGUGCCAGCAGCCGCGGUAAUACGAAGGUCCCAAGCGUUAUCCGGAUUCAUUGGGUUUAAAGGGUGCGUAGGUGGAAUGAUAAGUCAGUGGUGAAAUCUUGCAGCUUAACUGUAAAACUGCCAUUGAUACUGUCGUUCUUGAGUGUAGUUGAUGUGGGCGGAAUAUGUCAUGUAGUGGUGAAAUACUUAGAUAUGACAUAGAACACCGAUUGCGAAGGCAGCUCACAAAACUAUAACUGACACUGAGGCACGAAAGCGUGGGGAUCAAACAGGAUUAGAUACCCCCGUAGUCC